UAGUGUUCAGGGCCCGGGGUUGUGUGCAGAACCAGGGUUCCAUGAUUUGCCUGUCUCUGCUGUGCGGGGCCGUGUCUCUCUGCGUUCUCCAUCCUCCUCAUUGCGGCCUUCUCUCUGCCCUCUUCCUCUCGUCUGCCUGCUUCCACCCCUCUUCCUGCCCUCCUUUCGGUGCCACAUCCUUUUUCUCAUUUCUCCGUUUCGGUUGCUUCCCUCUCCCUUCCCCUCCCCAGGGGGUUGCGCUCCCUCCGUUCUUUUCCGGCAUUUUUUUUGCAGGAGUUAGCACGCCCUCAGCGAUUUCAAGUUAUGGAGGCGAUGGCUCCUGAUGAGACGGACCAAGGUCAUCGGCGAAGGAGUGAGGGGGAGGAUCUAGAAGAUGCGGUGCAAGACCAGAUUCGAGCGACGGAACAGGAGAUAAGAGCGAAGGAAGAGAAGUUCAGAGCAAAGGAAGAGGAGAUAAGAGAGCUCAGAGCGGAGAUAAGAGAGCUCAAAGCGGAGAUAAGUAAGCUCAGAGCGGAGAUCAGAGCGGUGGAAUCGGAGAUUGCUACUGCUUCGGGAGAUCAAGCGACAAAGCCUCUUGAAGCGAAGCUGCAAUUCCAACGCCAACAGAUAGUCAGCCUAAAGUCACAGGUUAGCCGCCUGGGGCAACAGAUUAGCAGCCGCGAUCAACAGAUAGUCAAUCUAGGGCAACAGAUUAGCAGCCGCGAUCAACAGAUAGUCAAUCUAGGGCAACAGAUUAGCAGCCUUCAGUCUGUGCAAGCAGCGGCGGCAUCGUCAGAUAAAUGCACAGAGUUUGAUUGGCUACGUCAGGACUUGCCGUCGUGGGUCUCAGGGAACUCCAAGCCUCCAAGCGCCACGCAGAAGGAGCGGAUGUACACGCCUGUGAGAGUGGAGUAUUGGGAUGUGGUGAAAGACAUCGAAGACUAUCUGAACAAGGUGGAUAAGUUGAAGCGUAUAUAUCGGAAAGUGGAUGACUCUGUAUUCACUGCAGGAAAGAAAAGUGUGGUAGCCAUCGCUUAUUUUGUCGUGAACAGCACCUGCGAAUUCGUUAGUAAGAAGCGACCAGAUUCCUCGGUAACAUACGACGGGGAAGUGAACCUUGAAGUGCCACCAGAACCCUCAGCAGAGGGAGGAGAGUCGACGAACACAGACGGAUCAAAGGCCGCGGGCAGAGACGUUCAAAAGAGUUUCUUUUAUGCCAGACCUCCUCGUGUGGAUGUGUUAAUUCAAUCCAACGAUGAGGCCGUUGCUGUUCUUGAGCUUAAGAAAGGAGGUCUGGGAUGUCCCGUGCCGAUCCACAAACUGUGGACAAGAUGCUCAUGUCAGACAGGAGUAUUCUCAACUGCAGUCUCCAGGUUUACGAAUACCUGGUUUUGUAAGCAGUUCAUUAACCUACCUCGGGAUGAAUCGGGUGGGGCUAGCUCAGCUCAGGGCUCAGUGUCGCGAGGUCUGCUUCUGCCUUUUGUCAAAAUAUUCCAGCAAAAGGGCAGUCCUGUUGAGCAAUACUUCGUUUUUCCUGGGCAGCUAUUUGGUGCUCUAACCUGGUUUUAUUCUUCAGGGCGAAGGUUGGGUAUGGCGUUCUCACCGAUAUCCAGAACUGGUAUCUCUGCAAAAGGGAUCAUGGUGGCUGCCUCUAUAUUUCAACAGGUUUCAAGUUGGAUGGCCGGAAACCGCCUGUACCUGCUGCAAUUGCUUAUUUGGUCAAUUCUGCUGUUGAAGCCCACGGUGAGUUUGAUGUUUUACCCAGGAAGGGUGAGCGUCCCUGGAGCUGGGAGGUUUCCCCUUGUGCCAAUCCCAGUAGCGGCUCUAAAGAUGAUGAAGACGAGGGUAGGACCUACAAACCAAACGAGCGCGAAAUUGGUGGUUACAGAACGUCUCCAGCUAGGACUCGAAGGGGAUCCUCAAACGCGACACAGAACCAAUUGCAGGAGAUUCCUGCGCCGGACCUGCAUCUGGACGACCGCCCCAUCAGCAGCGGGGGAUGGAGCGGCUCCGUGGUUGGCGGCACUUUGAAUGGUCGUCGUGUUGCAGUGAAGUUGGCUCCCCGCAAUUCGGAACGUGCGGAGGCUCUGCUGAACGAGGUGGACGCCUACCUAAAGCUGCAGAAGUAUUGGGGGGAAUUCGUGCCCCCAUUAGUAGGAUUUGGAACCACAGCCAAUGGCCAAAUUGUUUUCAUAGCGACAGAGUUGAUCGAUGGCAGUCCACUCGGACCUGGAACAGUGACCGAGGAGGUGGCCAAUGCGGCACGUAAGGGGCUUGAUGCUGUCCACAAGUGUAAGUUACUUCAUGGGGAUGUUGAGGCGCGGAACAUUAUGGUUGUGCGGGGUACACAGCCUUCUGUCCGCCUUGUUGAUUUCGGCUUUGCGAAGCGCAGCAACAAUAAGGAGUCGCAGAGGGAAGAGCGCGGGAGAUUGGAGGACCUUUUGCAAGAUAUGAUGAGAGUUCGGGUGGGGAAAGCGUUUGAUGACGUAAGAUAUCCUCGUACGCAGCUUUGUUCAGUAUAGUGUAACCACCUUUUCAAGCGACUCUGACGAGGGAGACUUAUCGUUGCCUGCCCUCCAAAAACUUUCGCUCCCCUCGCUCCCUCCCUCUCAGUUUUUCAACUGCUCCCAGGGCCGCCUCUCCUUGUCUUCUUUGUGUCCGCUUCUCCUCUCUCCAAGCUGUCAAAUUGGCUGCCGCCUUAAUGGCGGCCGCCAAAUUUCACAAGAUUCCUUUACGGAAACCUUUCAAAACAUUUUAAAUCGGAACUUAAAAGUUCAAUUACACCUUUAUUA
Physcomitrium patens is the source of this 2771-nucleotide non-coding RNA. NCBI's taxonomy places the organism in Eukaryota, Viridiplantae, Streptophyta, Bryopsida, Funariales, Funariaceae. The record is from RefSeq and is a predicted model, not a curated record.